UAGGGAAUCUCCCGCAAUGGGCGAAAGCUUGACGGAGCAACGCCGCGUGAGUGAUGAAGGUCUUCGGAUCGUAAAACUCUGUUAUUAGGGAAGAACAAAUGUGUAAGUAACUAUGCACGUCUUGACGGUACCUAAUCAGAAAGCCACGGCUAACUACGUGCCAGCAGCCGCGGUAAUACGUAGGUGGCAAGCGUUAUCCGGAAUUAUUGGGCGUAAAGCGCGCGUAGGCGGUUUUUUAAGUCUGAUGUGAAAGCCCACGGCUCAACCGUGGAGGGUCAUUGGAAACUGGAAAACUUGAGUGCAGAAGAGGAAAGUGGAAUUCCAUGUGUAGCGGUGAAAUGCGCAGAGAUAUGGAGGAACACCAGUGGCGAAGGCGACUUUCUGGUCUGUAACUGACGCUGAUGUGCGAAAGCGUGGGGAUCAAACAGG
Molecule: ribosomal RNA, 429 nt
Filed under: Actinomycetes bacterium
Lineage: Bacteria; Bacillati; Actinomycetota; Actinomycetes
Description: Actinobacteria bacterium partial 16S ribosomal RNA
Rfam family: Bacterial small subunit ribosomal RNA
Source: RNAcentral